Molecule: ribosomal RNA, 468 nt
Filed under: uncultured bacterium
Lineage: Bacteria
Description: partial 16S ribosomal RNA
Rfam family: Bacterial small subunit ribosomal RNA
Source: RNAcentral
GACGAACGCUGGCGGCGUGCUUAACACAUGCAAGUCGAACGGAAAGGCCCUGCUUUUGUGGGGUGCUCGAGUGGCGAACGGGUGAGUAACACGUGAGUAACCUGCCCUUUACUUUGGGAUAACUUCAGGAAACUGGGGCUAAUACCGGAUAGGAGCUCCUGCUGCAUGGUGGGGGUUGGAAAGUUUCGGCGGUUGGGGAUGGACUCGCGGCUUAUCAGCUUGUUGGUUGGGUAGUGGCUUACCAAGGCUUUGACGGGUAGCCGACCUGAGAGGGUGACCGGCCACAAUGGGACGGAGAAACGGACCAGACUCCAACGGGAGGCAGCAGUGGGGAAUAUUGCACAAUGGGCGGAAGCCUGAUGCAGCAACGCAGCGUGCGGGAUGACGGCCUUCGGGUUGUAAACCGCUUUCGCCUGUGACGAAGAGUGAGUGACGGUAAUGGGUAAAGAAGCACCGGCUAACUACGUG